This 253-nucleotide ribosomal RNA is filed under the name uncultured bacterium. Its description in RNAcentral is "partial 16S ribosomal RNA". It matches the Rfam family "Bacterial small subunit ribosomal RNA", at positions 524 to 776 of the family's 1533-position model. The record is from RNAcentral.
UACGUGGGGGGCAAGCGUUGUUCGGAAUUACUGGGCGUAAAGGGUGCGUAGGCGGCUUUCUAAGUUGGAUGUGAAAACUAUGGGCUCAACCCAUAGCCUGCAUCCAAAACUGGAGAGCUUGGGUUCUGGAGGGGAAAGCGGAAUUCCUGGUGUAGCGGUGAAAUGCGUAGAUAUCAGGAGGAACACCGGUGGCGAAGGCGGGACUCUGGGCCGAUACUGACGCUGAGGAGCGAAAGCGUGGGGAGCGAACAGG